UACGGGAGGCAGCAGUGGGGAAUAUUGCACAAUGGGCGCAAGCCUGAUGCAGCCAUGCCGCGUGUAUGAAGAAGGCCUUCGGGUUGUAAAGUACUUUCAGUCGUGAGGAAGGUGUUAAGGUUAAUAACCUUAGCAAUUGACGUUAGCGACAGAAGAAGCACCGGCUAACUCCGUGCCAGCAGCCGCGGUAAUACGGAGGGUGCGAGCGUUAAUCGGAAUUACUGGGCGUAAAGGGCACGCAGGCGGUUAAUUAAGUUGGAUGUGAAAUCCCCGGGCUUAACCUGGGAAUGGCAUUCAAGACUGGUUAGCUAGAGUCUUGUAGAGGGGGGUAGAAUUCCAUGUGUAGCGGUGAAAUGCGUAGAGAUGUGGAGGAAUACCGGUGGCGAAGGCGGCCCCUGGACAAAGACUGACGCUCAUGUGCGAAAGCGUGGGGAGCAAAC
This 440-nucleotide ribosomal RNA is filed under the name uncultured bacterium. RNAcentral's name for it is "bacterial SSU rRNA". It matches the Rfam family "Bacterial small subunit ribosomal RNA", at positions 340 to 773 of the family's 1533-position model. The record is from RNAcentral.